Molecule: ribosomal RNA, 490 nt
Filed under: uncultured bacterium
Lineage: Bacteria
Description: bacterial SSU rRNA
Rfam family: Bacterial small subunit ribosomal RNA
Source: RNAcentral
UCCUGGCUUAGGAUGAACGCUGGCGGCGCGCCUAACACAUGCAAGUCGAACGGUUAAAGCACCUCCGGGUGUGUAUAAAGUGGCGAACGGCUGAGUAACACGUGGGCAACCUGCCCCUCGCUCCGGGACAGCCUCAGGAAACUGGGAGUAAUACCGGAUACUCCGCCACCCCCGCAUGGGGGAGGCGGAAAGCCUUAACGGCGAGGGAUGGGCCCGCGGCCUGUUAGCUUGUUGGUGGGGUAACGGCCCACCAAGGCCAUUAUGGGUAGCUGGGUUGAGAGACCGACCAGCCAGAUUGGGACUGAGACACGGCCCAAACUCCUACGGGAGGCAGCAGUGGGGAAUCUUGCACAAUGGGCGAAAGCCUGAUGCAGCGACGCCGCGUGCGGGACGAAGGCCUUCGGGUUGUAAACCGCUUUCAGUGGGGACGAGGCCGCGAGGUGACGGUACCCACAGAAGAAGCCCCGGCUAACUACGUGCCAGCAGCAGC